UAGUACCGAAUCUGAAAGUUGAUCAAUAAAUGCAACCACCGUUUCGGGAGUCAUUGAAGCAGCCAAGAUUAUUGUUGACCACAUUCCUUCAUAUAUUAUGUUGGCUCAAAGUGGAUUUUCUCUUCUGUUGCAUCCAAGGAAGACACACUCUGAAGGACAAAAUAGCCAAGAUGCUCAUGAUGCAAAAUAAUUUGAACCAUGCCUUUGAAUAUGAAGGACUUCAAAGUGGCUAAGAAUCAGGUAAGAUUUCUUAGGAUUCUUUUUCUUUAAUCUACCUUGACCAUUAGGUGCCACUUUUUACUCCAAGGGUUUAGAUUUGAUGGUUUAAUUUUUUUUUUUUUUUUUAUAAAAACAAAUGCUCUUAAACUGAAACAAUCAUGUCCAUCCCAUUUACAUGUUCCAAUUGUUAAAACAAAAUAAGUAAUAGUUAGUUAAGCUUGAGAAAUUCAUAAGUGACUCCAAUGGCGUCAUAUGUCUAUGAACUUGAUUGGUUAUGCAUGAUUCUUUUCUAAAAGAACAAUACAAAAUAAAUACCAAAAACUGAACUUGAUAGAAAAACAUUUCUUUACCUUUGUGAAACACAAGCAAGAUCCUUUGAAGAAGUGAGUCUCACCUAUAAAAAAAAGAACAAAAAUAAUCACAAAACUUAAGUCUCAAACAAAGUAAAAUAAUAAAUUGCACACAAAAAUAGUUCAUGGGCUUCAUGCUUUGUUCAUAUUCAUGCUUCACUAAAAACUGAUUGUACAUGGAAUCUAAUAAAUUGAGUUUAUCAUUUUCAGGUUCAAGAAAUGAAUGCAAAGAGAAUGAGAAUGAGGAAAUGAAGAUUAAUCACUGAGUUCUUUGCCUAGUGGUGAAGGAAAGAAGGCAAGAGAAUGAGGGAAUUUGAAAGGAAUAUGAAGGGCAAUUUAUAUUGUUUAGAUUUUGUACAAAUAAGACCAAAUUGUCCUUCUACUUGCUCUCCAAGUUUUGUAUUAAUAUAAUUUAUUAUUAUUUUUAAGCAAUACACUGAAUCUGGACCAUAUAUGAGACUUUAAAUUCAAAAUAUCAUGUCCCUUUGUUUGGGAGGGAAAAAAUAAACACAAGUUAAAACUUGCACAAGAUAAUAGGACCCCAGUUAAAGCCUACACAAUAAAGCAUACACUUGUCAAAAAAAAAAUAUAAAGCCUACACUUGUCAAAAAAAAAGAUAAAGCCUACACCAGAUGCAUUUUUAAAUUAAAAAACCCAUAUGCCAAAUUAGGUGACGUGGCAUACUUGAAUGAAAUCUACAGUUGCAAAAGACCGUAUACCUGUGUCAAGUAUAUAGAUUUUUUUUUUUUUUGGAUUUGAUUUGUUUCAAUUUUAAUUUGUUUUAUUUGUUAUUUGUAAACUUUAAUUGAGGAGAAAACCAAACCGAUAUACCGGUAGUUUUCAUAAGAUUUUUUAUUUCUAAAUUUUAAUUUUUUAUUUCAAAAUUUUAAUUUCAUUCAAUCUAUAAACUUUUUUAUAAGUAAUAAGUUAGUUUGAUUGAAUGUAUUUCUUCUCCAUGAACAUUAAAACAAAUGAGAGAUAGAAGCAUGGUUGUAAGUUGUAACGUCCUUUUCAUCUGUCUCUCUCAAAAGUCAAAUGUUGCAGCGUUAAUACCUGUUUGAUAUGUUGCUACUAUUGUUGUAUUUCUGCUUUGUUGGAAUCAAUUUCAAAAUUCAAUUUGUCCCAUUGUUUUUCAAUAUCUAAACUCACUUUCUUACUCAUCUCUCUCCAUUUUUUGUUGAUUCCUUUGAACUUCGUCUCUCUCCAUGAAUCAACCAUCUUGGAUGGCACAAGCCACAAUCUUCAAAGGUUUUCUUCUCAAUCUUCUCAAUCUAAUCCUCCAACCUGUUUCAAGACCCAUCCCGCAGUAGUAAAGUUUUGAUACCUGAUCGAAGGAAUCGCUCUCUCGCAUGACACAAUCAGAGAUUUUGUUAAUUUCGAAAGUUGGAUCUUUUACCGCUCGAAAAAGUCAAAGAAACAGGGGUUGGAAGAAUAAAGCAGAAGAGGGGUUAUAAAGAUCGAUGGAUGUACACGGAUGAAAAUGGAAAAAAUACGGCUGAUGCGUGCCUUAUUGCUUACAAAGAUCCUUAUUUAGCUCACUUUGCUGGUAGUUUUUUCAAUGAUGCACCUGUAGUAGAUAUGCUUUUUGAGAAGAUAGAAUAAGACACUGAUACACAUGAUAAGAACGUUGAGGGAUAAAGAGAAGAAAAAUGAAUAGAAUGGUAAAACUGAUGCAUAGUAUAGGGAGGACCGUGUAAUGUACAUAUAUGCUAUCAUACAUUUAAAACCACACAUUCAAUUUGUUGACUCUAUAUUUGAAGAGAUUAUUAUGCAAUGGCUUAAAUUUUGAA
Molecule: long non-coding RNA, 2359 nt
Organism: Trifolium pratense (red clover)
Lineage: Eukaryota; Viridiplantae; Streptophyta; Magnoliopsida; Fabales; Fabaceae
Exons: 7
Source: RefSeq, a predicted model, not a curated record